Molecule: ribosomal RNA, 262 nt
Filed under: uncultured bacterium
Lineage: Bacteria
Description: partial 16S ribosomal RNA
Rfam family: Bacterial small subunit ribosomal RNA
Source: RNAcentral
GCCUACGGGAGGCAGCAGUGGGGAAUAUUGCACAAUGGGGGAAACCCUGAUGCAGCAACGCCGCGUGAGUGAAGAAGUAUUUCGGUAUGUAAAGCUCUAUCAGCAGGGAAGAAGAAAGACGGUACCUGACUAAGAAGCCCCGGCUAACUACGUGCCAGCAGCCGCGGUAAUACGUAGGGGGCAAGCGUUAUCCGGAUUUACUGGGUGUAAAGGGAGCGUAGACGGCAUAGCAAGUCUGAAGCGAAAGCCCGUGGCUCAACCG